RNAcentral lists this ribosomal RNA (226 nucleotides) under uncultured bacterium. RNAcentral's name for it is "partial 16S ribosomal RNA". It matches the Rfam family "Bacterial small subunit ribosomal RNA", at positions 113 to 334 of the family's 1533-position model. The record is from RNAcentral.
CAACGUGGGUAACCUGCCCCGAUGAUUGGGACAACCCGAGGAAACUCGGGCUAAUACCAAAUGUGACUCUGGCCAUCAGGGCCAGAAGGAAAGGAAGCUUCGGCCUCCGCAUUGGGAUGGGCCCGCGGCCCAUUAGCUUGUUGGUGGGGUAAUGGCCUACCAAGGCGACGAUGGGUAGCUGGUCUGAGAGGACGAUCAGCCACACUGGGACUGAGACACGGCCCAG